RNAcentral lists this transfer-messenger RNA (268 nucleotides) under Pseudomonas sp. RNAcentral's name for it is "partial transfer-messenger RNA". It matches the Rfam family "transfer-messenger RNA", at positions 1 to 243 of the family's 374-position model. Rfam says of the family: Bacterial tmRNA, also known as 10Sa RNA or SsrA, is named for its dual tRNA and mRNA-like properties. Its role is to liberate the mRNA from a stalled ribosome. The record is from RNAcentral. Lineage: Bacteria; Pseudomonadati; Pseudomonadota; Gammaproteobacteria; Pseudomonadales; Pseudomonadaceae.
GGGGCCGUUUAGGAUUCGACGCCGGUUGCGAAACUUUAGGUGCAUGCCGAGUUGGUAACAGAACUCGUAAAUCCACUGUUGCAACUUUCUAUAGUUGCCAAUGACGAAACCUACGGGGAAUACGCUCUCGCUGCGUAAGCAGCCUUAGCCCUUCCCUCCUGGUACCUUCGGGUCCAGCAAUCAUCAGGGGAUGUCUGUAAACCCAAAGUGAUUGUCAUAUAGAACAGAAUCGCCGUGCAGUACGUUGUGGACGAAGCGGCUAAAACUU